CCCGGUGAAAUUUUAACGGCCGCAGUUAGGAGCUGUGCUAAGGUAGCGUAGUAAGUUGUCCUUUAAAUGGGGAAAGGUAUGAAUGGUUUGACGUGAGAAAAGCUGUCUCAGGCGGAAGAAGGGAAAUUUUCUUUUUGGUGAAAAGUCCAAAAUAAAAUUAAAAGACGAGAAGACCCUUUCGAGCUUGAUAAAAACUGAAAAGAAAUUUUUGGUUAAAGUUUAGUUGGGGCAACUUAGGAGCAAAGGAAGACUCCUUGAGGGUGUAGCGAUCCAAAACUUUUGAAUUAAGAAAAAGCUACCGUAGGGAUAACAGCGUUAUCUUUUCUGAGAGAACAAAUUGAAGAAGAG
This 348-nucleotide ribosomal RNA is filed under the name Galeommatoidea sp. UF296115. Its description in RNAcentral is "partial 16S ribosomal RNA". It matches the Rfam family "Archaeal large subunit ribosomal RNA", at positions 1954 to 2584 of the family's 2987-position model. Lineage: Eukaryota; Metazoa; Mollusca; Bivalvia; Galeommatida. The record is from RNAcentral.